RNAcentral lists this ribosomal RNA (231 nucleotides) under uncultured beta proteobacterium. RNAcentral describes it as "partial 16S ribosomal RNA". It matches the Rfam family "Bacterial small subunit ribosomal RNA", at positions 980 to 1211 of the family's 1533-position model. The record is from RNAcentral. Lineage: Bacteria; Pseudomonadati; Pseudomonadota; Betaproteobacteria.
UUUGACAUGUACGGAACCCUCCAGAGAUGGAGGGGUGCUCGAAAGAGAGCCGUAACACAGGUGCUGCAUGGCUGUCGUCAGCUCGUGUCGUGAGAUGUUGGGUUAAGUCCCGCAACGAGCGCAACCCUUGUCAUUAGUUGCUACAUUUAGUUGGGCACUCUAAUGAGACUGCCGGUGACAAACCGGAGGAAGGUGGGGAUGACGUCAAGUCCUCAUGGCCCUUAUAGGUGG